UUUCAAACCAAAACGUAAGUUACGCAUAUAAGGAAUAAAAGUAUAAUUUAUACUAUUAUAAAUAACCAUAAUUUUUAGUAAUAACUAUUACCUCAAAAAGAAUUGAAACAUCUUAGUAAUUUAACAAUAACUAUAUAUAAGUAGUGGCGAACGAACAUAUAAUUAUUUUAAACUCUAAAUUUGGUUUUACAACAAGACCUCUUUUAUUACCUAUAAAAAAAGUACCGUGAGGGAAUACCAGAAUUAACUUCUAAAAAACUGUGAACACCACUUACCUCUUGUAUAAUGGACUUGCUAGAUACUAUUAUGGUAAGCUUCUAGGCUUAAAAAUUUACAUAAAUCAUAAUAACCCGAAACCAAACGAUCUAAUCAUAAAAGUAGCAAGUACUAACCAGUGAAUGUGAAAAAAUUCUUGGAAUAUUUAUGAUUAGCAGCGAAAAACUAACCGAGUUUGGAUAUAGCUGGUUCUCUACGAAAUCUAUUAUAGUAGACCAUUUUAAUUCAGGACAGAAGAAAGGGAAAAACCUCUCUCUUCAAAAGGGAAAAAACCUCAAUUAGAAAUUUAAAUGUUAAAAAAUAAAAAUUAAAGUCUACAAGCGUUAAAAUAACUUAAAAGUAGGAUUAGAAACACCCAUCUUAUCAAAAACACGUAAUAGUAUAUUAAAUAAACGCUUUGGAUACUAAAAUAAAACAAAUAACCCUUUAAUAUUCUAAAUAAUACCAUAGUAGUAGAGUAAUCUAUCUUAAUAAAGCUAUUCAAUAGAAGAAAUAAUGCAAGUAUAAUUAAAAAUAUUUAUUUCUAAUAUUUCUUAUUUUAAUAUAUGAAUAAGUUAAUCCAAUCUCUUAUCCCAAAAUGAGAUGUACAAUCUAUCAUCUAGAAAAAACUGUGCUCUCAAUUGUAUUAAACUAAUUCAAGUAGAAACAAAGAAAAAGAUAAAUUUUCUCUUAGGAACUCCGCAAACUUUAUACCGACUGUUUACCAAAAACAUAGCCUUUUCUAUAUAUAAAAGGUGUUACCUGCCCAGUGACUUACAACUAAAGAAAGGAAAUUACUUAAAGUGAGUUUAAAGGACGCGGUAUCCUAACCGUGAUAAUGUAGCAUAAUCACCCGCCAUUUAAUUGAUGGAUAGUAUGAAUGGUAAAACGAGUAUAACACUCUCUCAGAGAAAAAUCUUAUGAAAUUGGAAUGGUAGUCAAGAUACUAUCUUAAACUGUAAGACGAGAAGACCCUAUAGAGCUUAACUAUAUCUUUCUCAUAAUAUUAAGUUCACUUAUACACCAGAAAGAUAGGUAGUUUAGUUGGGGCGACUACUUUCUAAAUAUAACGAAAGCAAGCAAUAUUAAUUCCUUAAUUUACUGUAUAACCUAUAAGUUUAAUAGUUAUAAAAAUAGGCAAUAAUGACCCGUUAACAAAAAAAAACAUCGUUAACGAACAUUAAACAAAAGCUACCUUAGGGAUAACAGGAUAAUCUUAUUUUAGAGACCUAAUCGAAAAUAAGGUUUGCCACCUC
This 1511-nucleotide ribosomal RNA is filed under the name Millepora sp. EK-2011. Its description in RNAcentral is "partial large subunit ribosomal RNA". It matches the Rfam family "Bacterial large subunit ribosomal RNA", at positions 85 to 2527 of the family's 2925-position model. The record is from RNAcentral. Lineage: Eukaryota; Metazoa; Cnidaria; Hydrozoa; Anthoathecata; Milleporidae.